Molecule: long non-coding RNA, 507 nt
Organism: Pseudophryne corroboree (corroboree frog)
Lineage: Eukaryota; Metazoa; Chordata; Amphibia; Anura; Myobatrachidae
Exons: 3
Source: RefSeq, a predicted model, not a curated record
UAAAAAGAAUAUUUUUUUCUUCACUCUGCUGAGGGGAAUGUACCCAUGCUUCAACAGUUUUACCCAGGAUACACUUCUGCAAAACCACUCCAGUAUUGGACCAGUUUACCCCACUCCACCAUGGAUGUCCUACUUGUGAUGUGGACCUGAACCACCGCCAUGUUAGAGUCACUCUUUCAGGUCUUGUGGAGUAUCCUUCCCGAUUUGCAGGAACCAGCGUGGAUGAAGGGACCGGACAGUUCCCCUGCUGUACCAUGGGUGACCUACUUGGGAUGUGGACCUGAACCUCCGCCAUGUUGCAGACAUCCCCCCCCCCCUCAGGUCUUGCGGAGUAUCCUUCCCAAGGUGCAGCUACCAGCGUGGAUGUCAAGGGACAAGACAGUCCCCCUGCUGUACCAUGGGCAACCUACCAUAAUACCACUGCAUCUCUGAAAUACACUAUUUUACAUUUUAUCAACUAAUAAUGUAAAGAAAAACCACACAAAACUUCUCAUUUAAAAAAUUUAU